Molecule: ribosomal RNA, 165 nt
Filed under: Lilium apertum
Lineage: Eukaryota; Viridiplantae; Streptophyta; Magnoliopsida; Liliales; Liliaceae
Description: Nomocharis aperta 5.8S ribosomal RNA
Rfam family: 5.8S ribosomal RNA
About the family: 5.8S ribosomal RNA (5.8S rRNA) is a component of the large subunit of the eukaryotic ribosome. It is transcribed by RNA polymerase I as part of the 45S precursor that also contains 18S and 28S rRNA.
Source: RNAcentral
UAUACGACUCUCGGCAACGGAUAUCUCGGCUCUCGCAUCGAUGAAGAACGUAGCGAAAUGCGAUACUUGGUGUGAAUUGCAGAAUCCCGUGAACCAUCGAGUCUUUGAACGCAAGUUGCGCCCGAGGCCUUUCGGUUGAGGGCACGCCUGCUUGGGCGUCACGCC